Molecule: small nucleolar RNA, 136 nt
Organism: Mastomys coucha (southern multimammate mouse)
Lineage: Eukaryota; Metazoa; Chordata; Mammalia; Rodentia; Muridae
Product: small nucleolar RNA SNORA17
Exons: 1
Source: RefSeq, a predicted model, not a curated record
GCUGCUCCGAGAGCAUUGCAGAUGUGGCUGCUGUGUCUCAUGUGUGUCAGUAGGUGGCAGAGAGGAGAAAGGCUGUGUCUGAGAAAGGCUCAGUGUUCUGACCUAUGGAAAUCUGAAUGAUUAGUAGUCUAACAUU